Molecule: long non-coding RNA, 513 nt
Filed under: Homo sapiens (human)
Lineage: Eukaryota; Metazoa; Chordata; Mammalia; Primates; Hominidae
Description: HSALNT0300080
Source: RNAcentral
CCGACACCAACAGGCUUGGAAGAAUUCAAUGUUUGUAAACCAGAACCUUCUCACGGAUAUGUUUCCUCGUUAAUCUAACAGUCCUCAAAUCUUUCCAACUGCAGGGAUGUUUUCUUCAAAAGCAGAGAUUUAUCAAAUCUCUUUAGUACUGAGAACGAAGUAAGGAGAGACUGGAGGAUGGGAAAGGAGUCCUUUCCCUCUCUGCUUUUCCCAGGAAACCGUUCCACUGACAGUGAGGCCAACGUUCACUUUCCGUCACCACUCAACUUUGACCAAACUGUCCCACCAAUGGCUCCUAGGAGGACACCGAUGGAGCAAGACAGGUGGGCUUCCUUGUUGGCACUCAGGGACAAGUGCAUGAUCAUGCAACAUCUGGAUGUGCACACACGUGUGACCCUACACAAGCACACGGAGGGACAGUGACAAACCUGGGAUUCCUGCAGCUCGGGGAAGCUACUGCCCAUGCAAUCCGGAAUAUGAAGAUGUUGUAAAAUAAAAAACUGAAGCACAGAG